This 250-nucleotide ribosomal RNA is filed under the name uncultured Lactobacillus sp. RNAcentral describes it as "partial 16S ribosomal RNA". It matches the Rfam family "Bacterial small subunit ribosomal RNA", at positions 113 to 354 of the family's 1533-position model. Lineage: Bacteria; Bacillati; Bacillota; Bacilli; Lactobacillales; Lactobacillaceae. The record is from RNAcentral.
CAACGUGGGGAACCUGCCCCAUAGUCUGGGAUACCACUUGGAAACAGGUGCUAAUACCGGAUAAGAAAGCGGAUCGCAUGAUCAGCUUUUAAAAGGCGGCGUAAGCUGUCGCUAUGGGAUGGCCCCGCGGUGCAUUAGCUAGUUGGUAAGGUAAAGGCUUACCAAGGCGAUGAUGCAUAGCCGAGUUGAGAGACUGAUCGGCCACAUUGGGACUGAGACACGGCCCAAACUCCUACGGGAGGCAGCAGGC